Molecule: transfer RNA, 84 nt
Filed under: Candidatus Roizmanbacteria bacterium RIFCSPLOWO2_01_FULL_40_14
Lineage: Bacteria; Candidatus Roizmaniibacteriota
Also listed under: 1 other name
Description: tRNA-Leu
Rfam family: tRNA
About the family: Transfer RNA (tRNA) molecules are approximately 80 nucleotides in length. Their secondary structure includes four short double-helical elements and three loops (D, anti-codon, and T loops).
Source: RNAcentral
GCCAGAGUGCUGAAAUUGGCAGACAGGCACGCUUCAGGAGCGUGUGCUCGUAAGAGCGUGGAGGUUCAAAUCCUCUCUCUGGCA